UGGGGAAUCUUGCGCAAUGGGCGAAAGCCUGACGCAGCCACGCCGCGUGAGUGAAGAAGGCCUUCGGGUUGUAAAGCUCUGUCACCUGGGACGAAAAUCCAGUCGGUUAAUAGCCGAUUGGCCUGACGGUACCAGGGGAGGAAGCACCGGCUAACUUCGUGCCAGCAGCCGCGGUAAUACGAAGGGUGCAAGCGUUGCUCGGAAUUAUUGGGCGUAAAGGGCAGGUAGGUGGUCUUAUUUGUCUGAGGUGAAAUCCCUGAGCUUAACUCAGGACGUGCCUUAGAAACGGUAGGACUAGAGUCUUAGAGAGGGUCGUAGAAUUCCCAGUGUAGCGGUGAAAUGCGUAGAGAUUGGGAGGAAUACCAGAGGCGAAAGCGGCGACCUGGAUAAGCACUGACAC
This 400-nucleotide ribosomal RNA is filed under the name uncultured bacterium. Its description in RNAcentral is "bacterial SSU rRNA". It matches the Rfam family "Bacterial small subunit ribosomal RNA", at positions 355 to 746 of the family's 1533-position model. The record is from RNAcentral.